RNAcentral lists this ribosomal RNA (497 nucleotides) under uncultured bacterium. RNAcentral's name for it is "partial 16S ribosomal RNA". It matches the Rfam family "Bacterial small subunit ribosomal RNA", at positions 28 to 507 of the family's 1533-position model. The record is from RNAcentral.
GAUGAACGCUGGCGGCGUGCCUAAUACAUGCAAGUCGAGCGAACAGACGAGGAGCUUGCUCCUCUGACGUUAGCGGCGGACGGGUGAGUAACACGUGGAUAACCUACCUAUAAGACUGGGAUAACUUCGGGAAACCGGAGCUAAUACCGGAUAAUAUAUUGAACCGCAUGGUUCAAUAGUGAAAGACGGUUUUGCUGCCACUUAUAGAUGGAUCCGCGCCGCAUUAGCUAGUUGGUAAGGUAACGGCUUACCAAGGCAACGAUGCGUAGCCGACCUGAGAGGGUGAUCGGCCACCCUGGAACUGAGACACGGUCCAGACUACUACGGGAGGCAGCAGUAGGGAAUCUUCCGCAAUGGGCGAAAGCAUGACGGAGCAACGCCGCGUGAGUGAUGAAGGUCUUCGGAUCGUAAAACUCUGUUAUUAGGGAAGAACAAAUGUGUAAGUAACUAUGCACGUCUUGACGGUACCUAAUAAGAAAGCCACGGCUAACUACGUG